UAGUAUCGAUGGCGUCAUAGUUGUGA
This 26-nucleotide non-coding RNA is filed under the name Bombyx mori (domestic silkworm). The record is from RNAcentral. Lineage: Eukaryota; Metazoa; Arthropoda; Insecta; Lepidoptera; Bombycidae.